UGAACAUGACGGUUAAAACCCUUCCUUUACCA
This 32-nucleotide transfer RNA is filed under the name Poecilia vivipara. RNAcentral describes it as "partial tRNA-Met". The record is from RNAcentral. Lineage: Eukaryota; Metazoa; Chordata; Actinopteri; Cyprinodontiformes; Poeciliidae. RNAcentral also lists the same sequence under 2 other names.